This 529-nucleotide ribosomal RNA is filed under the name Cryptococcus sp. LCF-59. RNAcentral describes it as "eukaryotic LSU rRNA". It matches the Rfam family "Eukaryotic large subunit ribosomal RNA", at positions 89 to 632 of the family's 3401-position model. The record is from RNAcentral. Lineage: Eukaryota; Fungi; Basidiomycota; Tremellomycetes; Tremellales; Cryptococcaceae.
GCGAGUGAACCGGGAAGAGCUCAAAUUUGAAAUCUGGCGUCCUCAGGGCGUCCGAGUUGUAAUCUAUAGAGGCGUUUUCCGUGCCGGACCGUGUCCAAGUCCCUUGGAACAGGGUAUCAAAGAGGGUGACAAUCCCGUACUUGACACGACGACCGGUGCUCUGUGAUACGUCUUCUACGAGUCGAGUUGUUUGGGAAUGCAGCUCAAAAUGGGUGGUGAGUUCCAUCUAAAGCUAAAUAUUGGCGAGAGACCGAUAGCGAACAAGUACCGUGAGGGAAAGAUGAAAAGCACUUUGGAAAGAGAGUUAAACAGUACGUGAAAUUGUUGAAAGGGAAACGAUUGAAGUCAGUCGUGACCGAGAGGCUCAGCCGGUCCUGCCGGUGUAUUCCCCUCGGUCGGGUCAACAUCAGUUUUGUCCGGCGGAUAAGGGCGGGAGGAAGGUGGCACCCUCGGGUGUGUUAUAGCCUCCCGUCGCAUACGUCGGGCGAGACUGAGGAACGCAGCUCGCCUUCAUGGCCGGGGUUCGCCC